AUUGAACGCUGGCGGCAUGCCUUACACAUGCAAGUCGAACGGUAACAGGUCUUCGGAUGCUGACGAGUGGCGAACGGGUGAGUAAUACAUCGGAACGUGCCCGAUCGUGGGGGAUAACGAGGCGAAAGCUUUGCUAAUACCGCAUACGAUCUACGGAUGAAAGCGGGGGAUCUUCGGACCUCGCGCGGACGGAGCGGCCGAUGGCAGAUUAGGUAGUUGGUGGGAUAAAAGCUUACCAAGCCGACGAUCUGUAGCUGGUCUGAGAGGAUGAUCAGCCACACUGGGACUGAGACACGGCCCAGACUCCUACGGGAGGCAGCAGUGGGGAAUUUUGGACAAUGGGUGAAAGCCUGAUCCAGCCAUGCCGCGUGCAGGAUGAAGGCCUUCGGGUUGUAAACUGCUUUUGUACGGAACGAAAAGCCUCUUUCUAAUAAAGAGGGGUCAUGACGGUACCGUAAGAAUAAGCACCGGCUAACUACGUG
RNAcentral lists this ribosomal RNA (482 nucleotides) under uncultured bacterium. Its description in RNAcentral is "partial 16S ribosomal RNA". It matches the Rfam family "Bacterial small subunit ribosomal RNA", at positions 30 to 507 of the family's 1533-position model. The record is from RNAcentral.